RNAcentral lists this ribosomal RNA (324 nucleotides) under uncultured bacterium. RNAcentral's name for it is "bacterial SSU rRNA". It matches the Rfam family "Bacterial small subunit ribosomal RNA", at positions 28 to 334 of the family's 1533-position model. The record is from RNAcentral.
GAUGAACGCUGGCGGCGUGCUUAACACAUGCAAGUCGAACGAAGCGAUUUAGCGGAAGUUUUCGGAUGGAAGCUAGAUUGACUGAGUGGCGGACGGGUGAGUAACGCGUGGGUAACCUGCCUCACACUGGGGGACAACAGUUAGAAAUGACUGCUAAUACCGCAUAAGCGCACAGGACCGCAUGGUCCGGUGUGAAAAACUCCGGUGGUGUGAGAUGGACCCGCGUUUGAUUAGCUAGUUGGUGGGGUAACGGCCUACCAAGGCGACGAUCAAUAGCCGACCUGAGAGGGUGACCGGCCACAUUGGGACUGAGACACGGCCCAA